RNAcentral lists this long non-coding RNA (376 nucleotides) under Mytilus galloprovincialis (Mediterranean mussel). The record is from RNAcentral. Lineage: Eukaryota; Metazoa; Mollusca; Bivalvia; Mytilida; Mytilidae.
CCGUGUCUGUUUUAAUAUUUUUUUCUUAGUAUAUGUUCAAAACACCGAGUCCAGAUAAACGAUUCGUUUUCAUUGUAUUUCUCAACUAGGUCUUCACUCUUCUCAUGGUACUAAAGAACCGUUCUGCCCGCGUUGUCGUCGAGACCGGCAUACAUGCAAAUACAUUAAGUAUCUGAAAGAUUCCCGGGUAUCCUUGGUUUAUAACAUUUAAUGUUUCCUGCAGCUUGUUAGGAAUGUUAUCAAAAUAUCCAGUUCAUUUUGUUAACCAUCUCCGAAUUUCGAUCUUGAAAUUCGUCUUUUGUAACAUGGGCAUCAUCUGCAUUUCAUUAAUGAUUAUGUCCCCAACAGCUAAAGUAAGUUGGUCAAUGUUUUUUGG